Molecule: long non-coding RNA, 167 nt
Organism: Octopus sinensis (East Asian common octopus)
Lineage: Eukaryota; Metazoa; Mollusca; Cephalopoda; Octopoda; Octopodidae
Exons: 3
Source: RefSeq, a predicted model, not a curated record
CCGAAUAUUUUGUUCAUGUGCCAGUAAGGCAACGCUGGUAACGAUCAUGCUCAAAUGGUGCUUUUCACAUGCCACCGGCACAGAAGCCAGACAGCUGCUCUGGAAGUGAUCCCGCUCAGAUGGAGCUGUUAGUGCUCCACUGGCAUGGGUGCCAUCAAAAUUCAACA